Molecule: long non-coding RNA, 730 nt
Filed under: Pan troglodytes (chimpanzee)
Lineage: Eukaryota; Metazoa; Chordata; Mammalia; Primates; Hominidae
Description: lincRNA
Source: RNAcentral
AACCAUGAGAAAGCUUUAAAUGGGGAUGUAAAAUAUGAUCUGUGGAAGGGAGAGAGCAGCAUGCUGGAGGGGAUGAUUUGGCAAGUCCGCUGAAGAACACAAGCCUCGACUGCUCCCCAGCGUGGAAGAAGGAAGGCGAUAAAUACUGUAACGGAGGACGAGGAAGGAGCACUGAGUUCUAUGUGGAAAGAAAGGGUCAAAAAGAGGAAAACGCCUAUUCACAUGCAUGGCGUUUAACAGAUUUAUUAGGUUGUUUGCUGUGUGAUGUAAAUCUCCUCCUCUCUCUCCUUGAAAUUUCUUGAGUGAAUUCUACAUUGUUCAUUCAUUCAUGUUUAUGUGCCAGCAAGCUUUGGGAGCACUGUAAAAAUAAAAAAGGUUAGACCACUGUUAGACAUCUGGGAAACAUCUAUGUUAGAGAAGGACUAUAUAUUAAUUUAUCUCAUUUAUGGGAGGGAAAUACUAUGAUUAUUGAAGGUACAUCUCUUUCUUUAUGGAUGGAGUACAUCUUAUUUUUCUAAAAUUUGUAUUUGAACCUAUUUAUUUCUAAUUGUCAAAAAUGUGAAGUGAGAAACUUAAAAACUUUUUAGUUUCUCUUGUCCCACCAUUUUAUGUACUUCCAGGUUGUCAAAUAAUUUGGAAUUUUAGACUUAGAUAUAUAGAUCUUCUAUUUCAAUAAUUAGCUUAUAUUUUAAUUAAAUUGUAUAACUGCAUUAAAAUAUACUUAACUAUG